GGGAAGUUGAAAGGCAAAAGAGAAAGCAUUGAGUAAAAUGUGUUGAAUGAUAAAAGCAUGAGAAGAAUAGAAAAUAAAAGAAAAGAAAAGCAUGAAAGAUAAAGCUCAAUGCAAAAGAAAAAGGGAAAAGUUGGGAAUGAGUAGAUUGGUUGAAAGAGAGUUGUGCUUGAACUAUGAAUAUCGAAUAACUCUCUUAACUCAAAUAUUUUGUGAUCUAAAAAAACCAAUGUUUCUUGUUAGCCCAGCCACGUUAUAAGCCAUGAAAAAGUCCUUGUGAUGACAUAUGUGUGUAAGAAUGUUGGUUGUAUUAGAUGAAAGUCAAUUUUGUUGCAUGUGACAAGAGGAUAGUAGAGAGAAGAGUGACCUCCUUAAACACUUGAGUGAUUGAGUGAAACACUUUGCUUGGAAAGGAUUGAUGACUUUCAUGAUUACAUUUGUGCUUAGUGGAUUGGUCAUUCAUAAAAAUAGCAUCUG
This 474-nucleotide long non-coding RNA is filed under the name Vigna radiata. RNAcentral's name for it is "long non-coding RNA (VRAD_LNC017558)". Lineage: Eukaryota; Viridiplantae; Streptophyta; Magnoliopsida; Fabales; Fabaceae. The record is from RNAcentral.